This 253-nucleotide ribosomal RNA is filed under the name uncultured bacterium. Its description in RNAcentral is "partial 16S ribosomal RNA". It matches the Rfam family "Bacterial small subunit ribosomal RNA", at positions 524 to 776 of the family's 1533-position model. The record is from RNAcentral.
UACGUAGGGGGCAAGCGUUGUCCGGAUUUAUUGGGCGUAAAGAGCGUGUAGGCGGCCUGGUAGGUCCGCUGUGAAAACUCGAGGCUCAACCUCGAGAUGUCGGCGGAAACCACUUGGCUAGAGUCCGGAAGAGGAGAGUGGAAUUCCCGGUGUAGCGGUGAAAUGCGCAGAUAUCGGGAAGAACACCUAUGGCGAAGGCAGCUCUCUGGGACGGUACUGACGCUGAGACGCGAAAGCGUGGGGAGCGAACAGG